RNAcentral lists this unclassified non-coding RNA (177 nucleotides) under uncultured fungus. RNAcentral describes it as "sequence contains ITS2". The record is from RNAcentral. Lineage: Eukaryota; Fungi.
CAAAACCAUCAAGCCCCCGGCUUGGCCUUGAGUCUACAAAACGCCCCUGCUGUGGGCGUUGGCUCCAAAAGUUUUUCGGCGGUGGUGCCGUGCCACGGGCGUAUCGAGAACCCCCAAAAAGUUCCACGUCCCGGCGAGCGCGGCGGCUGCCCGCCCCCAAAGACCAUCUUAUCCAAA